Molecule: ribosomal RNA, 1371 nt
Filed under: uncultured bacterium
Lineage: Bacteria
Description: bacterial SSU rRNA
Rfam family: Bacterial small subunit ribosomal RNA
Source: RNAcentral
GAUGAACGCUGGCGGCGUGCCUAAUACAUGCAAGUCGAGCGAACGGACGAGAAGCUUGCUUCUCUGAUGUUAGCGGCGGACGGGUGAGUAACACGUGGAUAACCUACCUAUAAGACUGGGAUAACUUCGGGAAACCGGAGCUAAUACCGGAUAAUAUUUUGAACCGCAUGGUUCAAAAGUGAAAGACGGUCUUGCUGUCACUUAUAGAUGGAUCCGCGCUGCAUUAGCUAGUUGGUAAGGUAACGGCUUACCAAGGCAACGAUGCAUAGCCGACCUGAGAGGGUGAUCGGCCACACUGGAACUGAGACACGGUCCAGACUCCUACGGGAGGCAGCAGUAGGGAAUCUUCCGCAAUGGGCGAAAGCCUGACGGAGCAACGCCGCGUGAGUGAUGAAGGUCUUCGGAUCGUAAAACUCUGUUAUUAGGGAAGAACAUAUGUGUAAGUAACUGUGCACAUCUUGACGGUACCUAAUCAGAAAGCCACGGCUAACUACGUGCCAGCAGCCGCGGUAAUACGUANGUGGCAAGCGUUAUCCGGAAUUAUUGGGCGUAAAGCGCGCGUAGGCGGUUUUUUAGUCUGAUGUGAAAGCCCACGGCUCAACCGUGGAGGGUCAUUGGAAACUGGAAAACUUGAGUGCAGAAGAGGAAAGUGGAAUUCCAUGUGUAGCGGUGAAAUGCGCAGAGAUAUGGAGGAACACCAGUGGCGAAGGCGACUUUCUGGUCUGUAACUGACGCUGAUGUGCGAAAGCGUGGGGAUCAAACAGGAUUAGAUACCCUGGUAGUCCACGCCGUAAACGAUGAGUGCUAAGUGUUAGGGGGUUUCCGCCCCUUAGUGCUGCAGCUAACGCAUUAAGCACUCCGCCUGGGGAGUACGACCGCAAGGUUGAAACUCAAAGGAAUUGACGGGGACCCGCACAAGCGGUGGAGCAUGUGGUUUAAUUCGAAGCAACGCGAAGAACCUUACCAAAUCUUGACAUCCUUUGACAACUCUAGAGAUAGAGCUUUCCCCUUCGGGGGACAAAGUGACAGGUGGUGUAUGGUUGUCGUCAGCUCGUGUCGUGAGAUGUUGGGUUAAGUCCCGCAACGAGCGCAACCCUUAAGCUUAGUUGCCAUCAUUAAGUUGGGCACUCUAAGUUGACUGCCGGUGACAAACCGGAGGAAGGUGGGGAUGACGUCAAAUCAUCAUGCCCCUUAUGAUUUGGGCUACACACGUGCUACAAUGGACAAUACAAAGGGCAGCGAAACCGUGAGGUCAAGCAAAUCCCAUAAAGUUGUUCUCAGUUCGGAUUGUAGUCUGCAACUCGACUACAUGAAGCUGGAAUCGCUAGUAAUCGUAGAUCAGCAUGCUACGGUGAAUACGUUCCCGGGUCU